This 211-nucleotide unclassified non-coding RNA is filed under the name plant metagenome. RNAcentral's name for it is "partial contains small subunit ribosomal RNA, internal transcribed spacer 1, and 5.8S ribosomal RNA". The record is from RNAcentral.
UUUCCGUAGGUGAACCUGCGGAAGGAUCAUUCAUAAUAAAGUGUUUUAUGGCACUCUUUAAAAAUCCAUGUCCACCUUGUGUGCAAUGUUAGAUCUCGUCAAUCUUGGCGAGAUUUUUAUACAUCAACUCAUUUUUUAACUAAUUUGUCUGAAAAAUAUUAUGAAUACUUAAUCCAAAAUACAACUUUCAACAACGGAUCUCUUGGCUCUC